RNAcentral lists this long non-coding RNA (272 nucleotides) under Lathyrus oleraceus (garden pea). Its description in RNAcentral is "Pisum sativum (pea) long non-coding RNA (PSAT_LNC007999)". Lineage: Eukaryota; Viridiplantae; Streptophyta; Magnoliopsida; Fabales; Fabaceae. The record is from RNAcentral.
AAAUUUCAGUUUUAGCACUCUAAAACUCAGAAAGGAAACAAUCGUAAUAAAAAAUUGUUUUUAUAAAAAAACUAUUGUAUUUGACCUCAGGUCGAUUCCAACUAAGCACUUUUUUUAUAAAAAAAAAAUUAGUAAAACAUAUCAGAACGAUUUCAUAUAAUAAAUAUUUUAUUAAAAUAAUUAAAAAUUAUAUGAGAAAGAUUUUAAUUUGUUUCUAAUAUUAGUUGUUGUAUAACAUUUGCAAAAAGAUAAAUAAGCUACCGCAACGAAAU